Molecule: ribosomal RNA, 500 nt
Filed under: uncultured bacterium
Lineage: Bacteria
Description: partial 16S ribosomal RNA
Rfam family: Bacterial small subunit ribosomal RNA
Source: RNAcentral
ACUCAAAUGAAUAGACGGGGGCCCGCACAAGCGGUGGAGCAUGUGGUUUAAUUCGAUGCAACGCGAAGAACCUUACCUACCCUUGACAUCCCGCGAAUCCCGUUUAAGAGAUGGGAGUGCCGAAAGGAGCGCGGAGACAGGUGCUGCAUGGCUGUCGUCAGCUCGUGUCGUGAGAUGUUGGGUUAAGUCCCGUAACGAGCGCAACCCUUGUCGUUUGUUGCUAGCAGGUAAAGCUGAGCACUCAAAUGAGACUGCCGGUGAUAAACCGGAGGAAGGUGGGGAUGACGUCAAGUCAUCAUGGCCUUUAUGGGUAGGGCAACACACGUGCUACAAUGGGGUGAACAGAGGGAAGCCAACCUGCGAAGGGGAGCGAAUCCUAGAAAACACCUCGUAGUCCGGAUUGGAGUCUGCAACUCGACUCCAUGAAGCUGGAAUCGCUAGUAAUCGCCGAUCAGCACGCGGCGGUGAAUACGUUCCCGGGCCUUGUACACACCGCCCGU